Long non-coding RNA from Mesocricetus auratus (golden hamster), 2286 nucleotides. RefSeq lists it as uncharacterized. Lineage: Eukaryota; Metazoa; Chordata; Mammalia; Rodentia; Cricetidae. The transcript has 2 exons. The record is from RefSeq and is a predicted model, not a curated record.
CGCGGAGUGCGGCCACCCUCUUCUGGAGCACAAGGCGGCAGUGAACAAGGCCAACCUAGGUGUCUGGCUGGUGAUGGGGGAGCCUGCGGUGGCGCGCAACCUUGGUGUUGAAACCACGCUCUCCGCCCGCUCCUGGGCGUCUGGUGUUGCUGGAGAAUCAAUUAUUCAGAUCUCUGCUACGGCUUCCUCCUCCAGUGCCUCCGGCUGGGUACAGCAAUCCCUGCUCCACGCAAGACACGCCGACACGCACACGCCCGCCCAGAGAGUCUGCUCGGAUGCUUCUCUCAAUGCCUAACCACCCUGGUAUGGGAACCCACUCUGAUGUCAGGGAGCCAGGAGUCUAAAAGCAAAAAACAUACACUGCCUCCACGCACAGACGCGCGCGUGCACGCGCACACACCACACACACACACACACACACACUCGCGUGCUCACGCACACAUACACAUACACACUUGCUGCUUUCUUCUCUAAGUUGUACCAGAUUUUAAAAAAAUAGCUCACCAGAAGGGACUAACUGGACUUGAAAGCUGACUGGCUCUAAUUCUGGCGAUUGAGCGAGCAUGAGGCUCAUUGUUAGAUGUCUACAUUUGACCUUUGUAUAGUCAACUGUAUCCCAAACACCUCUUCCUUUCUUCUCUCUGGAGAAAGGUCUUAAAUUCCACUUGAUACCUAACGUCACCAGAAUGCUUAUGUCCGAAAUUUGUACGUUGAAAACCUAAACCCUAGGUGAUGGUAAGAGUGCUGGCCUUCACACAGGGACUAAGUCAUAAGACUAGAAUCGCAUUAGUCUCUUUAUAAAAGAGGUCCUGAAGAGCUAGCCAGCUAGCCCGGCCCUUGCCCAGCCAGAAGAAGCCCUCGACACAUAAUCUGCCUCGUGUUGAUUUUAGAAAAACUUCUUAUGAUUCAUAAGGCGAGUAGUUUUUAUCACAGGUCCACUGACUCCAGCCAUCACCAUCUUCCUUUAAUGACUGGAUAAUCUGGAGAAAGAGUCAUGGGCAGCAGCAGUACGAAUGCCUAUUACUCUGGGUUAUCCUGAAAUGAAAAGAGAGUGAAUGGCCUUGGCCAGAGUCAACAAGACCUGACACAUAGUAGAUGCUCAGGAGACACAAGAGCCCUCUAAAGUAACCCAUUCAGGAGGGUACUUCUAGAUACAUUGAUGUGAUUGCAGGAAAGCAGACAAGAAAGGGUCAUGGGUCCCAGAGACCAUGCAUUCACUGUUGUGCUGAUAGCUGGGUAUGGAAUUCCUUGGGGUCUUACACAAAAGAGAGAGCAGAGGCAGACAGAAUCUGGAAGGGAAGUAAAGUGUGGGAAGCAUGCUGUGAUAUGAUCCAGACAGAGACUGAGGCAACGGUCCAUUUCCUGACACUGUGGAUGAGCUGGACGGAGCUGGGCCUCUCUCCUGUGUGAGUUAUCAUUGGCGACUCCUGGGGAAAUUAGCGUCUUAGUUCAAGAAGCUGUAAUCUGCAGCCAGUUUACAGAGCCACACCAUGCCCAGAAGCCCGAGGCUGCAGGCUGUUCUCCAAGAAGGCAGGCUGCCCUGCCAGGACCUGUGGAAGACAGGCUUGACUGAUCUCAGGAACUUACCCUCUGCCUCCAGCCUCCAGAGGUACCUAUCAAGCACCUUCCCAAGUUCUUGCUGCUCCUUCAGUCUCUCUCCAAAGCCUGAGAGCCACAUGAGCCUGUGCCUGACAUAACCCUUCCUUUUUUAGAGUUCCCUUGGAACACAGCAGGAAACCAACAGUCAGUUUAUCCAUCUGAACAAUGGAGGUGCUGAUAGUAGAUCCCACUAGAUCCACAUCUGCAGACGGAACUCUUGGCAAAGAGAGAAAAUAAACUAACCAGGUACAGACUUUAACCCUUGCUAUUAUCCCUCAGCAACACUGUAUAUCACCUGAAUUGCAUUCAGCACUAAAAGUCAUCCACAGAUUACUCAAAGCACUGGGGAAGGUUGUGUAGUAUUAUGCAAAUUUCGUGCUAUUUUGCAUAAGGACAAGAGUAUCCUCAGAAUUUGGAAUCAUGGGCCUUCUGGAUCCACUCCAUAAAAACCAAGGGACUACAGCAUCCUGGGAGUUUGGUAUUACAGGUAUCCUGAAUCUAACACCCCUCCCACCAUGGAUACUAAGGGAUGACUAUAUUGACUUCACAGAAUCGUAGUGGGAUUUGAUGAUAAUUGCACACAGAAACUGGAAUAGUGUAUGCCACAUAGGAAAUGAGUAUUAGCCACUUUCUGUGUUCUUGUUAUAUUUGUAUUUGCAAAUGUAAUAAACCAUAGUGCGAACCAUA